Molecule: unclassified non-coding RNA, 326 nt
Rfam family: Eukaryotic small subunit ribosomal RNA (bases 1-46)
AAGUCGUAACAAGGUUUCCGUAGGUGAACCUGCGGAAGGAUCAUUAACGAAUAUCUAUGGCGUUGGUUGUAGCUGGCUUCUAGGAGCAUUGUGCACGCCCGUCAUUCAUAUCACCUUUCCACCUGUGAACUAUUUGUAGAUCUGGAUCCCUCUCGCUUUGCUUGCAUGGCGGAUGCAAGGAUUGCUGUGCCUCUGAAAGCCAGCUCUCUUUGAAUUUCCAGGUCUAUGUCUUUUUACACACCCCAGUGCAUAACGCAGAAUGUAUCAAAUGGGCCGUAAGGCCUAUAAACACUAUACAACUUUCAGCAACGGAUCUCUUGGCUCUC